GUGAGGAAUAUUGGUCAAUGGGCGAGAGCCUGAACCAGCCAAGUAGCGUGAAGGAUGACUGCCCUACGGGUUGUAAACUUCUUUUGUCCAGGAAUAAAAAAUCCCUCGUGAGGGGUCUUGCAGGUACUGGUUGAAUAAGGACCGGCUAAUUCCGUGCCAGCAGCCGCGGUAAUACGGAAGGUCCGAGCGUUAUCCGGAUUUAUUGGGUUUAAAGGGUGCGUAGGCGGGGAAGCAAGUCAGCCGUAAAAUUGUUGAGCUCAACUCAAUCCCGCGGUUGAAACUGCCUCCCUUGAGUACACUAGAGGGCGAUGGAAUUCGUGGUGUAGCGGUGAAAUGCAUAGAUAUCACGAAGAACUCCGAUUGCGUAGGCAGUCGCCUGGGGUGCCACUGACGCUGAGGCACGAAGGUGCGGGUAUCAAACAGG
This 424-nucleotide ribosomal RNA is filed under the name uncultured rumen bacterium. RNAcentral describes it as "bacterial SSU rRNA". It matches the Rfam family "Bacterial small subunit ribosomal RNA", at positions 354 to 776 of the family's 1533-position model. The record is from RNAcentral.